GAUGUAAUUACUUUGUUCUUUGAUUAUUUCAACCUUACUGCGCUUAGUUUCAGUCUCAGGCUUCACUGGCGUGGAAACAGCUCGUAUAAGCGAAGGUCUGGAAGAAGAAACAGAAAACAAAUUCACAUUUCUCGUCAAAGCAAGUGAAGAAUUUGAAGAUCUCAAACCAUCAAAGCUCCGUAUCUGGAUCUUCGGGUCCUUCAACACCGCAGUGUUGGCCGCUCCAAAGGAGGUCGUCGUCGUCGUCAUGAACUCUGAAAUCAAGAACUAGACCCGACAGUAAACCCCAGGCAACGAGAGCUAGGACUCUUACAAGCCAAGCUCCAGUGAGAGAGAGAUACUUACGGGGAUUGGUUGAGUGGCGAUGACUGAGCUAAGAAAUGAAAACGAAAACAAAAAUU
This 401-nucleotide unclassified non-coding RNA is filed under the name Hevea brasiliensis (rubber tree). The record is from RNAcentral. Lineage: Eukaryota; Viridiplantae; Streptophyta; Magnoliopsida; Malpighiales; Euphorbiaceae.